This 468-nucleotide ribosomal RNA is filed under the name uncultured bacterium. RNAcentral's name for it is "partial 16S ribosomal RNA". It matches the Rfam family "Bacterial small subunit ribosomal RNA", at positions 28 to 507 of the family's 1533-position model. The record is from RNAcentral.
GACGAACGCUGGCGGCGUGCUUAACACAUGCAAGUCGAACGGUGAGGCCCAGCUUUCUUGGUGGGCUCGAGUCGCGAACGGGUGAGUAACACGGGAGUAACCUCCCCUGGACUUUGGGAUAACUUCAGGAAACUGGGGCUUAUACCGGAUAGGAGCUCCUGCUUCAUGGUGUGGGUUGGAAAGUUUGGGCGGUUGGGGUUGGACUCGCGGCUUAUCAGCUUGUUGGUGGGGUAGUGGCUGACCAAGGCUUUGACGGGUAGCAGGCCUGAGAGGGUGAGCGGCCACAUUGGGACUGAGAUACGGCCCAGACUCCUACGGGAGGCAGAAGUGGGGAAUAUUGCACAAUGGGCGGAAGCCUGAUGCAGCAACGCCGCGUGCGGGAUGACGGCCUUCGGGUUGUAAACCGCUUUCGCCUGUGACGAAGCGAGAGUGACGGUAAUGGGUAAAGAAGCACCGGCUAACUACGUG